RNAcentral lists this ribosomal RNA (147 nucleotides) under uncultured eukaryote. RNAcentral's name for it is "partial 18S ribosomal RNA". It matches the Rfam family "Eukaryotic small subunit ribosomal RNA", at positions 1299 to 1458 of the family's 1831-position model. The record is from RNAcentral.
UAGUGGAGUGAUUUGUCUGGUUAAUUCCGUUAACGAACGAGACCUCAGCUUGCUUUAUAGUGCUGCGAAUGGUUUUUCAUUCGUAUCUUUUCGCACUUCAAAGAGGGACAUUUCGGUUUAACCGGAAGGAAGUUUGAGGCAAUAACA